RNA transcript from Pygocentrus nattereri (red-bellied piranha), 2139 nucleotides. It is a transcript of the gene named citrate lyase beta like, with no coding region annotated. Lineage: Eukaryota; Metazoa; Chordata; Actinopteri; Characiformes; Serrasalmidae. The transcript is spliced from 9 exons. The record is from RefSeq and is a predicted model, not a curated record.
CCUGGUUUACAUCUUUAAAUGUCCAGUGACGAGCGCUCCGAGGGCCUCAGCCAAUCAAAAGUCUUCCAGUGUGACCCGACGUGACGCCGCCAGCCAAUAGGAUCGCGCCUUGCGUUGACGGAGGAAACAUGGCGCUACACAUAGCCCGAGCUUGCAGGAAGGAGUCGGUUCAGUUGACCCAUAGGCUGCUUCUAGCGGUAUGGCACCAAAGCAGUUGGCGAUGUCACCAUACCUCAGGAACAUCUCUGAAGUACAUACCGCGACGGGCCGUUCUUUAUGUACCAGGCAACGACGAGCGCAAGCUUAGGAAGCUCAUCUCGCUAGAUGUGGACUGUGCUGUUCUGGACUGCGAGGAUGGCGUUGCCCUUAAUAAGAAGGCAGCAGCACGGGAAACGAUCCCAAAGAUACUGGCAGAGCUGAAUCUGGGGCGUACAGAGAAGUGCGUACGGGUGAACUCCGUGUCCAGCGGUCUGGCUGAAGCUGACCUGGAGGUCAUUCUGCAGGCAGAGGUCCUGCCCCCAGCACUCAUGCUGCCAAAGGUGGAGGACACUGGAGAAGUGCAGUGGUUUGUUGACAGGUUUCAGCAUCACUUAAAAGGCCGGAAGCUGAUGGAACCCAUUCGCUUAGUCACCUUUGUAGAAACUGCUGUGGGGUUGCUGAAUUUUAAGGCUGUGUGUGAAGAGAUCCGGCAGCUCGGACCAAAAGUUGGUCUGCAUCACGACGGAGUGGUGUUCGGCUCCGAUGACUUCUGUGCCAGCAUAGGGGCCACAAGGACCAAAGAUGCCCGAGAGCUGCUGUAUGCACGUCAGAAAGUUGUGGUCACUACUAAAGCUUUUGGCCUCCAGGCUAUUGACCUUGUUUACAUUGACUACCAGGAUGGAGAAGGGCUGCGGCAACAGGCCAGAGAGGGCGCACUCAUGGGCUUCACUGGAAAACAAGUGAUCCACCCAAACCAAAUCAAGGCUGUACAAGAGGAGUUCUCCCCUAGUCCUGAGAGAGUCAAAUGGGCUACUCAGUUAAUUGCUGCAUUUGAGGAUCAUCAGAAGAUGGGGAAGCCUUUUCCGUGCAGCUAAAGAAGAGCGUCUUGGUGGAGAACAGUGUUUUCACAAAUCUCCAACUGACACGAAUAAAACACACAACACUGCUUUUAGCCACAAGCUUCCUGAAAGGGGCGCGUUCACCUUCCAUGGCAGUAUGAUUGACAUGCCGUCAUUGAAGCAGGCCCAGAACAUCGUCACCUUGGCCUCAGCCGUCCAGGGGAAAUGAGCCAAACUGGGGCUGUGCGGGCAGCCAUAUCUGUCACUGUGCAGGGCAUCGGAUGAUAAACUGGGAAGUCCAGACAGACAUGUGUCCUCUCGGAUCAUUAGCUGUAGCUCUAACGUUGUCUAAAAUCAGCAGUAGCAAGUGGCCUGAUGGCAUAGUCUGCAAUUUCAAAGCGUUAUUAGUGUGUAUCUAUGUUUAUGAUUUUUUAAAUUUAAUUUACAUGUUUACAUUCAUAUAUAAAUUUAUCACACACACACACACACACACACACACACACACACACACACAUACAGUAUGGUGCAAAAGUCAGAGACCGCCCUUCAUUUAUUGUUACCAGUUAAAAAUAACUUUUUAAGUUCACAUAAAUUUUUCAGCAAAUAUUGCUGCGCAGAUUAGAUGUGAGAUAAUGCACUUGCACAAGGAAGGGGGGAAUACAAAUAAAAAGAACUGAAAAAAUCCACAGAUGUUUCUGUCCAUCCUUCCACAGUGAGAAGACAACUCAGCACUGAGUCUGAAAAAUGUGUGGCUGUCAAGAAGCCCUCGCUGAGAAGAGGUAAUGGACAAAAAAGAACAUUUACAAGUCAUACAAAGAAGCAUACAAAGGAUUACUUGGUUCAUGUGAAGCGGAAAAUUCUAAGACUAAACUUUGGAGAUGUGUAAAAAUAUCCCUGCAGAUUUGAAAAACUGAAAGCAGGUCUUCCAGUAAGAUUGGAAGCUGUAGUAACUGCAAAGGAUGGACACUCUAUAUAGUGAAAAAUAUAUUUAGUUGUUGAGGCUUCUGUGCAGUUUUCUGUUGAAUAUGUUCUGUUUUUUGUCCUGAUGCUGAAAAAUUACUUGUACGUAAUGGUGAUUUUGAAUGGAAAUAAAAUUAAUAAA